This 425-nucleotide ribosomal RNA is filed under the name uncultured Burkholderiales bacterium. RNAcentral's name for it is "bacterial SSU rRNA". It matches the Rfam family "Bacterial small subunit ribosomal RNA", at positions 61 to 477 of the family's 1533-position model. The record is from RNAcentral. Lineage: Bacteria; Pseudomonadati; Pseudomonadota; Betaproteobacteria; Burkholderiales.
GUCGAACGGCAGCGCGGGUGCUUGCACCUGGCGGCGAGUGGCGAACGGGUGAGUAAUGUAUCGGAACGUGCCCAGUAGCGGGGGAUAACUACGCGAGAGCGUGGCUAAUACCGCAUACGCCCUUAGGGGGAAAGGUGGGGAUUCUUCGGAACCUGCCACUAUUGGAGCGGCCGAUAUCGGAUUAGCUAGUUGGUGGGGUAAAGGCCUACCAAGGCGACGAUCCGUAGCUGGUUUGAGAGGACGACCAGCCACACUGGGACUGAGACACGGCCCAGACUCCUACGGGAGGCAGCAGUGGGGAAUUUUGGACAAUGGGGGAAACCCUGAUCCAGCCAUUUCGCGUGUGCGAUGAAGGCCUUCGGGUUGUAAAGCACUUUUGGCGGGGAAGAAAAGCGCCGGGCUAAUACCCUGGCGUGCUGACGGUA